This 784-nucleotide ribosomal RNA is filed under the name uncultured bacterium. RNAcentral's name for it is "bacterial SSU rRNA". It matches the Rfam family "Bacterial small subunit ribosomal RNA", at positions 1 to 786 of the family's 1533-position model. The record is from RNAcentral.
UUGAGUUUGAUCAUGGCUCAGAUUGAACGCUGGCGGCAUGCUUUACACAUGCGAGUCGAACGGCAGCGCGGGCUUCGGCCUGGCGGCGAGUGGCGAACGGGUGAGUAAUAUAUCGGAACGUACCCAGAAGUGGGGGAUAACGUAGCGAAAGUUACGCUAAUACCGCAUACGAUCUACGGAUGAAAGUGGGGGAUCGCAAGACCUCAUGCUUUUGGAGCGGCCGAUAUCUGAUUAGCUAGUUGGUAGGGCAAUGGCCUACCAAGGCGACGAUCAGUAGCUGGUCUGAGAGGACGACCAGCCACACUGGAACUGAGACACGGUCCAGACUCCUACGGGAGGCAGCAGUGGGGAAUUUUGGACAAUGGGGGCAACCCUGAUCCAGCAAUGCCGCGUGAGUGAAGAAGGCCUUCGGGUUGUAAAGCUCUUUUGUCAGGGAAGAAACGGGAGUGGCUAAUAUCCAUUCUUAAUGACGGUACCUGAAGAAUAAGCACCGGCUAACUACGUGCCAGCAGCCGCGGUAAUACGUAGGGUGCAAGCGUUAAUCGGAAUUACUGGGCGUAAAGCGUGCGCAGGCGGUUUUGUAAGUCUGACGUGAAAUCCCCGGGCUUAACCUGGGAAUUGCGUUGGAGACUGCAAGGCUAGAAUCUGGCAGAGGGGGGUAGAAUUCCACGUGUAGCAGUGAAAUGCGUAGAGAUGUGGAGGAACACCGAUGGCGAAGGCAGCCCCCUGGGUCAAGAUUGACGCUCAUGCACGAAAGCGUGGGGAGCAAACAGGAUUAGAUACC